This 465-nucleotide ribosomal RNA is filed under the name uncultured bacterium. Its description in RNAcentral is "partial 16S ribosomal RNA". It matches the Rfam family "Bacterial small subunit ribosomal RNA", at positions 28 to 507 of the family's 1533-position model. The record is from RNAcentral.
GACGAACGCUGGCGGCGUGCUUAACACAUGCAAGUCGUACGGUAAGGCCCUUUCGGGGGUACACGAGUGGCGAACGGGUGAGUAACACGUGAGUAACCUGCCCACAACUUUGGGAUAACGCUAGGAAACUGGUGCUAAUACUGGAUAUGUGCUCCUGCUGCAUGGUGGGGGUUGGAAAGCUCCGGCGGUUGUGGAUGGACUCGCGGCCUAUCAGCUUGUUGGUGGGGUAGUGGCCUACCAAGGCGGCGACGGGUAGCCGGCCUGAGAGGGUGACCGGCCACAUUGGGACUGAGAUACGGCCCAGACUCCUACGGGAGGCAGCAGGGGGGAAUAUUGCACAAUGGGCGCAAGCCUGAUGCAGAAACGCCGCGUGCGGGAUGACGGCCUUCGGGUUGUAAACCGCUUUCAGCAGGGACGAAGCUUUUUGUGACGGUACCUGCAGAAGAAGCACCGGCUAACUACGUG